Molecule: non-coding RNA, 1298 nt
Organism: Chlorocebus sabaeus (green monkey)
Lineage: Eukaryota; Metazoa; Chordata; Mammalia; Primates; Cercopithecidae
Source: RefSeq, a predicted model, not a curated record
AACCUCAGAAUGUGACUUUAUUUGGAAAUAGAGUCUUCGCAGAUGUAAUCAAGUUAAGAUAAGGCCAUACUGAAUUAGGAUGGUCCCUAAUCCAAUAACUUGUGCCUUAUAGGAAGAUGAAAACUUGGACACAGAGACACAAACAUACACAGGGAAGAAGCCAUGUGAAGACAGAGGCAGAGAUUGAAGUGAUGGAUCCAUAAGCCCAAGAUCAGCAAGGAUUACCUGCAGCCACUACAAGCUUGGAGAGGGACCUGGGAUAGUUUCUCCUUCAGAGCUUCUAGACAGAACUUUUCGUUUAUCUCUCCUACUUCAUUACCUGCUUCCUGAGAUCAUUUCCCAAAGAAACUACCUGCACUUUCACUCGAGUCUGUGUCCAAGACAUCUCAGGGCCUGUCUGCAUGUUUUCUUGAGCAAUGUGUUUGGUCUUCUGGAAUUAUGAUUCAUGGAUUCAAGAGACCAUGGUGGAAGCUUCUAAUCCUCUUAAAAAGCAAGACUGAUCAUGGGGAACUGUCCUGUCCACUGGUACGUUAUUGCAAUCAGAGGAAGCUACUCCCUGAUUUGUAACCUACCUCUGUCUCCAGGAUAACUCUAAGACCAAAGGACUCCUUGGACACCUAGUCAGGAGGGUGGUGAGUUGAACUGAGCAAGCUUGAGCAUUUCAAACUGAGACAUUAGAAGUGGACACUUGCACUUUAUACAGAGUAAGGCCCAAAUUGAAUUAACCUGGAGUGAGUCUGCAACAAGCCUAGCGUCGGCAUUUCUAUGACUGACCUCGGCUAACACUGGAGCUACUUAAAUUUCCAAUGAUUUUGGAAAACUAUUUUUUUUUAAAGUGUGUGAUUUGAAGGUAAAUGAACCUAUUCCAAUUUAACUGCUUUAUUUUUGUGGUUGUAUAUAUAAUCAUAUUUAAGCAAUUUAAAAUCCAAACUUCCUUUUGGAGCUGUUUUAUUUUCUAAAGGGUCUUCCUGCCCAAGAUGGUGUCUGGGUGCAGAAGGGAGCUUAUUUACCUUCUGGCUUUGGGAAAGGGCUCCUUGCCCAAGUGAUGUGGUUCUCUCGUUUCCCUGUUGAUCACCAGUUGAGAUAUGUACUCACCUCACUUGACUUCUUUUUUUUUUUUUUUUUUUUUUUACAUUAAGAAAAAUCUUUUAUUUCUGUAGGUUUUUGGGGAACAGGUGAUAUUUGGUUAUAUGAGUAAGUUCUUUAGUGGUGAUUUUUGAGAUUUUGGUGCACCCAGCACCUGAGCAGUAUGCACUGAAUGCAAUUUGUAGUCUUUUAUCCCCCACUCCACUCCCACU